RNAcentral lists this ribosomal RNA (121 nucleotides) under Prolemur simus (greater bamboo lemur). The record is from RNAcentral. Lineage: Eukaryota; Metazoa; Chordata; Mammalia; Primates; Lemuridae.
GUCUACAGUCAUACCACCCUGAACGUGCUCAUCGUGUCUGAUCUCAGGAGCUAAGCAAGGUUGGGCCUGGUUAGUACCUGGAUGGGAGAAUAUGACAUGGCUAGGCCAUGACCUGAGGACC